GGGGGUUUAGCUCAGUGGUAGAGCAUUUGCAUAGCAUGCAUAAAGCCUUGGGUUUGAUCCCCCA
Molecule: transfer RNA, 64 nt
Filed under: Fukomys damarensis (Damara mole-rat)
Lineage: Eukaryota; Metazoa; Chordata; Mammalia; Rodentia; Bathyergidae
Rfam family: tRNA
About the family: Transfer RNA (tRNA) molecules are approximately 80 nucleotides in length. Their secondary structure includes four short double-helical elements and three loops (D, anti-codon, and T loops). Further hydrogen bonds mediate the characteristic L-shaped molecular structure. tRNAs have two regions of fundamental functional importance: the anti-codon, which is responsible for specific mRNA codon recognition, and the 3' end, to which the tRNAs corresponding amino acid is attached (by aminoacyl-tRNA synthetases). tRNAs cope with the degeneracy of the genetic code in two manners: having more than one tRNA (with a specific anti-codon) for a particular amino acid; and 'wobble' base-pairing, i.e. permitting non-standard base-pairing at the 3rd anti-codon position.
Source: Rfam by way of RNAcentral